This is a long non-coding RNA of Oncorhynchus tshawytscha (Chinook salmon), 1368 nucleotides long. Lineage: Eukaryota; Metazoa; Chordata; Actinopteri; Salmoniformes; Salmonidae. The record is from Ensembl.
GGGAAAAAUAAGGAAAAUACAUUAAAAAUAUAUAUUUAACAAGAAAUAUAUGGGGGAUUGGAAAGGAUGCAGAUAAUUACACUGAUAGAAGCCACAAUCUGCAAUAUUAAAGUUGAUCUACUCCCUACAUGUAUUAUUUUUAAUGGUUUUACACGUCAUUUCAACCCAGAUAGUCAAUGUUUUUUUCAUCCAACUUUUAACCUUAAAAACAUGGUGACUUCAUGUUAGUUGACAAUUCAACCAAAUGUAAAUCAAAACUAGAUGUUGCACUGACUUCUGUCCACUGUGGGUUCACUGUAAUAGAAAUAGCCUCUACCUUUUGUCAUUUCCAAGUAAGGACACUAGAGGGAGCUGUUGUUGAGUGGUUCUCUUGUACCAACCAUGCCUUCAGACACUGGUCACCUCUCUCUCCAACUCUCUUAAAGACAUAAUGUCAUCCAGCAACCAUAUCCAAAUGCUUCAUAUUGUCAUCACUGGCAACAAUCUACAUAUCUCUGGCAACACAGCCUCUUAUCACUAUGCCAAUAACUCCAUGACUGUGUGAGGAUGAGACAGAUACAUAGCCCGCUGGAGGGCCAGUCAUACUGUUGCUACACUUGUACCUUUUUGUGUGUGAGCCAAAGUGCCCAAGUGUGGACACGCUCUUAUGCCUCUUGAUUUAGCAGGGGUGUUGUUGCCCUGUUUUCUUUUUUUCAGUUCUGUAUUCUUCUUGGCUGGAUUCAUAGGAGAUUAAUCGAGUGCCAGGACAGUGUGUAGACUGAUACCUGAUCAGCUUGGAUUCAACCCAUAAAAUGCCACUGUAAUAUCAGAUCAUAUCAUGUGAUAAACAAGUUAAAGAGUGACUACUGUGUACUGCACAUACACAUACUGUAUAUUAUACAAAUACAUGACAAAAUCCUUGUAAGGAAAUAAUCUGCUGGCCUUGCCAUAACUUUUCCUCUUCCACAAUAAGUACAUAAUGUUUUCGAUCGACCCAUUGUAAUUUUUACUUCAGGUUAGAGAAGGUUUAUUCAAUUGUAGGUUUAUUCAACAAAAGAAAAGCAUUAAAUCAAAAUAUUGUAACACAUUCUGAGGUUUUACAUCUUUAAUCUCCAAUCAGUAACAAUCGAUUUGCUCUAUAUAAUGGAGACCUAUUCAGAAUUACAAUGUGACAGACAGUUGUUGACAUCUGAGUUGGUUGUGGACAUGGAUAUGAACUCUAUACCAGAGAGUACUAAGGAAGAAAAAUAAAUAAAGGCAACAAAAACAAAAUCUUCAUAAAUAUAGGAAAGGGUAGGAUACAGCGGUUGUAGACAUGAACCAUUUCAUUGUUUGUUCUCUCCAGUCAGUCAUAUGUACAUGUUUUUUUCCAGCAUCCAGAACCAUCCU